CCUACGGGAGGCAGCAGUGAGGAAUAUUGGUCAAUGGGCGAGAGCCUGAACCAGCCAAGUCGCGUGAGGGAGUACUGCCCUAUGGGUUGUAAACCUCUUUUGUCGGGGAGCAAAAGCCGGACGUGUCCGGCUGUGAGAGUACCCGAAGAAAAAGCAUCGGCUAACUCCGUGCCAGCAGCCGCGGUAAUACGGGGGAUGCGAGCGUUAUCCGGGGUUAUUGGGUUUAAAGGGUGCGCAGGCGGAUUGUUAAGUCAGCGGUAAAAUCGUGGGGCUCAACCCCAUCCAGCCGUUGAAACUGGGGAUCUAGAGUGUGCGAGAGGUAUGCGGAAUGCGUGGUGUAGCGGUGAAAUGCAUAGAUAUCACGCAGAACCCCGAUUGCGAAGGCAGCAUACCGGUGCACAACUGACGCUCAGGCACGAAAGCGUGGGUAUCGAACAGGAUUAGAUACCCCAGUAGUC
This 458-nucleotide ribosomal RNA is filed under the name uncultured bacterium. Its description in RNAcentral is "partial 16S ribosomal RNA". It matches the Rfam family "Bacterial small subunit ribosomal RNA", at positions 338 to 795 of the family's 1533-position model. The record is from RNAcentral.